GACGAACGCUGGCGGCGUGCUUAACACAUGCAAGUCGAACGGAAAGGCCCUGCUUUUGUGGGGUGCUCGAGUGGCGAACGGGUGAGUAACACGUGAGUAACCUGCCCUUGACUUUGGGAUAACUUCAGGAAACUGGGGCUAAUACCGGAUAGGAGCUCCUGCUGCAUGGUGGGGGUUGGAAAGUUUCGGCGGUUGGGGAUGGACUCGCGGCUUAUCAGCUUGUUGGUGGGGUAGUGGCUUACCAAGGCUUUGACGGGUAGCCGGCCUGAGAGGGUGACCGGCCACAUGGGGAGUGAGAUCGGGCCGGGCCCCCUGGGGGGGGAAGGAGGGGGGAAGUUGGAAAAGGGGGCGGAAGCGUGAUGCAGCACCGCCGGGGGGGGGAGGGCGGCCUGGGGGUUGAAAACCGUUUCCGCCGGUGACGAAGCGUGAGUGAGGGUAAGGGGUAAAGAAGCCCCGGCUAACUACGGG
RNAcentral lists this ribosomal RNA (468 nucleotides) under uncultured bacterium. RNAcentral describes it as "partial 16S ribosomal RNA". It matches the Rfam family "Bacterial small subunit ribosomal RNA", at positions 28 to 507 of the family's 1533-position model. The record is from RNAcentral.